UAUACUAUUCAUGGAGCAACAGUUUUGCGUGAAGCGGGUCAGGGGAGGAAUCCAGCAGCCCUAAGCGAAGUAAACUGUGUGCUCUUUUCUAUUGCUCUUAAU
Molecule: signal recognition particle RNA, 102 nt
Filed under: Streptococcus sp. oral taxon 056 str. F0418
Lineage: Bacteria; Bacillati; Bacillota; Bacilli; Lactobacillales; Streptococcaceae
Description: Bacterial signal recognition particle RNA
Rfam family: Bacterial small signal recognition particle RNA
About the family: The signal recognition particle (SRP) is a universally conserved ribonucleoprotein involved in the co-translational targeting of proteins to membranes.
Source: RNAcentral